RNAcentral lists this ribosomal RNA (326 nucleotides) under uncultured Bacteroidota bacterium. RNAcentral's name for it is "bacterial SSU rRNA". It matches the Rfam family "Bacterial small subunit ribosomal RNA", at positions 28 to 351 of the family's 1533-position model. The record is from RNAcentral. Lineage: Bacteria; Pseudomonadati; Bacteroidota.
GAUGAACGCUAGCGGCAGGCUUAACACAUGCAAGUCGAGGGGCAGCAGACCAUUUCGGUGGUGCUGGCGACCGGCGCACGGGUGAGGAACGCGUUUGUAACCUACCUUUAACUGGGGGAUAGCCCGAAGAAAUUCGGAUUAAUACCCCAUAAUAUCCUGACAGGGCAUCCUGUCUCGAUUAAAGCUCCGGCGGUUAAAGAUGGGCAUGCGUGACAUUAGCUGGUUGGUGAGGUAACAGCUCACCAAGGCUACGAUGUCUAGGGGGUCUGAGAGGAUGAUCCCCCACACUGGUACUGAGACACGGACCAGACUCCUACGGGAGGCAG